GUGCCAGCAGCCGCGGUAAUACGUAGGGUGCAAGCGUUAAUCGGAAUUACUGGGCGUAAAGCGUGCGCAGGCGGUCCGCUAAGACAGAUGUGAAAUCCCCGGGCUUAACCUGGGAACUGCAUUUGUGACUGGCAGGCUAGAGUAUGGCAGAGGGGGGUAGAAUUCCACGUGUAGCAGUGAAAUGCGUAGAGAUGUGGAGGAAUACCGAUGGCGAAAGCAGCCCCCUGGGCCAAUACUGACGCUCAUGCACGAAAGCGUGGGGAGCAAACAGGAUUAGAUACCCUGGUAGUCA
RNAcentral lists this ribosomal RNA (292 nucleotides) under uncultured microorganism. RNAcentral's name for it is "partial 16S ribosomal RNA". It matches the Rfam family "Bacterial small subunit ribosomal RNA", at positions 505 to 796 of the family's 1533-position model. The record is from RNAcentral.